GAGAAGUUGGCUCAAAAGUCAGUGGGGGCUAUUGAUUUAGUUGCACACCAGCUGUUUGAUCAAAUGUGUUUAAGAGGAAGAAGAGAUAAUCAGCAGAAGAUCGUGAGUAAAAUGCUAAAGACAUGGAAAUUUAAGUUCAAAAGAAAGGAGUUGACUGAAACCAGGCCACAACUUGACCAUAAUAAUCAAGGGUCACAUGCGAACAUUGGAGAAUGCAAAAGGUGUUGAUGGGAAAGGGACUCUCGGGUUUAUCUCUUUGUGUUAGAGUGUGGGAACAGGGUGGUGUCUUCGUUAAGCUAGCUAAGUGGAAUAGAUUGGAGACUUGUCAUGUAUAUGGUUGGCUGAUG
This 347-nucleotide long non-coding RNA is filed under the name Brassica rapa (field mustard). RNAcentral's name for it is "long non-coding RNA (BRAP_LNC000879)". Lineage: Eukaryota; Viridiplantae; Streptophyta; Magnoliopsida; Brassicales; Brassicaceae. The record is from RNAcentral.